Molecule: ribosomal RNA, 235 nt
Filed under: uncultured bacterium
Lineage: Bacteria
Description: partial 16S ribosomal RNA
Rfam family: Bacterial small subunit ribosomal RNA
Source: RNAcentral
AGCAAAUCUCUUAAAGCCGUUCUCAGUUCGGAUUGUAGGCUGCAACUCGCCUACAUGAAGUCGGAAUCACUAGUAAUCGCGGAUCAGCAUGCCGCGGUGAAUACGUUCCCGGGUCUUGUACACACCGCCCGUCACACCAUGAGAGUUUGUAACACCCAAAGCCGGUGGGGUAACCUUUUGGAGCCAGCCGUCUAAGGUGGGACAGAUGAUUGGGGUGAAGUCGUAACAAGGUACC